GACGAACGCUGGCGGCGUGCCUAAUACAUGCAAGUUGAGCGCUGAAGGUUGGUACUUGUACCAACUGGAUGAGCAGCGAACGGGUGAGUAACGCGUGGGGAAUCUGCCUUUGAGCGGGGGACAACAUUUGGAAACGAAUGCUAAUACCGCAUAAAAACUUUAAACACAAGUUUUAAGUUUGAAAGAUGCAAUUGCAUCACUCAAAGAUGAUCCCGCGUUGUAUUAGCUAGUUGGUGAGGUAAAGGCUCACCAAGGCGAUGAUACAUAGCCGACCUGAGAGGGUGAUCGGCCAAAUUGGGACUGAGACACGGCCCAAACUCCUACGGGAGGCAGCAGUAGGGAAUCUUCGGCAAUGGACGAAAGUCUGACCGAGCAAUGCCGCGUGAGUGAAGAAGGUUUUCGGAUCGUAAAACUCUGUUGGUAGAGAAGAACGUUGGUGAGAGUGGAAAGCUCAUCAAGUGACGGUAACUACCCAGAAAGGGACGGCUAACUACGUG
RNAcentral lists this ribosomal RNA (497 nucleotides) under uncultured bacterium. RNAcentral's name for it is "partial 16S ribosomal RNA". It matches the Rfam family "Bacterial small subunit ribosomal RNA", at positions 28 to 507 of the family's 1533-position model. The record is from RNAcentral.